This 366-nucleotide long non-coding RNA is filed under the name Bos taurus (domestic cattle). RNAcentral's name for it is "long non-coding RNA NONBTAT007478". Lineage: Eukaryota; Metazoa; Chordata; Mammalia; Artiodactyla; Bovidae. The record is from RNAcentral.
GUCACGGUCACAUUUGUCUUAUCCUUGGUCUCCGUGAAUUACACUUGCAGCGGUUAGCCAUCGAAUGUUUUAGCCGCCUACACAAAAGCAAACUGCAUUUUUAAAAGAAAACUUGGAGACAGAGGGAAAAUGUUUUCUUCCCUUUAUCACACUCCUCCCCACCAAAAGCAGCUCAUCAGUUCUCAUGAUUUGAAACUCCCCUUCUCACUCUUCAUAGCUACCGUUUGCCUGUAAUUUGCUUCAAUAAAUUAUUGUAGCAGAUUGAGGUGAAUUUUCAGGUAUUUUUCACGGGUUUAGUUUGUUUUUUUUCCUUUUGAGAAAGGGAUGCCAGCAAAGGAAAGAGUUGCUUUAAGUGACUGUCACCAG